UACGGAGGGAGCUAGCGUUAUUCGGAAUUACUGGGCGUAAAGCGCACGUAGGCGGCUUUGUAAGUAAGAGGUGAAAGCCCAGAGCUCAACUCUGGAAUUGCCUUUUAGACUGCAUCGCUUGAAUCAUGGAGAGGUCAGUGGAAUUCCGAGUGUAGAGGUGAAAUUCGUAGAUAUUCGGAAGAACACCAGUGGCGAAGGCGGCUGACUGGACAUGUAUUGACGCUGAGGUGCGAAAUCGUGGGGAGCAAACAGG
Molecule: ribosomal RNA, 253 nt
Filed under: uncultured bacterium
Lineage: Bacteria
Description: partial 16S ribosomal RNA
Rfam family: Bacterial small subunit ribosomal RNA
Source: RNAcentral